Molecule: ribosomal RNA, 402 nt
Filed under: Streptococcus mutans
Lineage: Bacteria; Bacillati; Bacillota; Bacilli; Lactobacillales; Streptococcaceae
Description: bacterial SSU rRNA
Rfam family: Bacterial small subunit ribosomal RNA
Source: RNAcentral
GACGAACGCUGGCGGCGUGCCUAAUACAUGCAAGUGGGACGCAAGGGAACACACUGUGCUUGCACACCGUGUUUUCUUGAGUCGCGAACGGGUGAGUAACGCGUAGGUAACCUGCCUAUUAGCGGGGGAUAACUAUUGGAAACGAUAGCUAAUACCGCAUAAUAUUAAUUAUUGCAUGAUAAUUGAUUGAGAGAUGCAAGCGCAUCACUAGUAGAUGGACCUGCGUUGUAUUAGCUAGUUGGUAAGGUAAGAGCUUACCAAGGCGACGAUACAUAGCCGACCUGAGAGGGUGAUCGGCCACACUGGGACUGAGACACGGCCCAGACUCCUACGGGAGGCAGCAGUAGGGAAUCUUCGGCAAUGGACGAAAGUCUGACCGAGCAACGCCGCGUGAGUGAAGAA